RNAcentral lists this ribosomal RNA (431 nucleotides) under uncultured bacterium. RNAcentral's name for it is "partial 16S ribosomal RNA". It matches the Rfam family "Bacterial small subunit ribosomal RNA", at positions 29 to 507 of the family's 1533-position model. The record is from RNAcentral.
AACGAACGCUAGCGGCAGGCUUAACACAUGCAAGUCGAACGCCCCGCAAGGGGAGUGGCCGACGGGUGAGUACCGCGUGGGAAUCUACCCAUCCCUACGGAAUAACGCAUGGAAACGUGUGCUAAUACCGUAUACGCCCUACGGGGGAAAGAUUUAUCGGGGAUGGAUGAGCCCGCGUUGGAUUAGCUAGUUGGUGGGGUAAAGGCCUACCAAGGCGACGAUCCAUAGCUGGUCUGAGAGGAUGAUCAGCCACAUUGGGACUGAGACACGGCCCAAACUCCUACGGGAGGCAGCAGUGGGGAAUAUUGGACAAUGGGCGCAAGCCUGAUCCAGCCAUGCCGCGUGAGUGAUGAAGGCCUUAGGGUUGUAAAGCUCUUUCACCGGAGAAGAUAAUGACGGUAUCCGGAGAAGAAGCCCCGGCUAACUUCGUG